GUUGAACGCUGGCGGCAUGCUUUACACAUGCAAGUCGAACGGUAACAGGUUAAGCUGACGAGUGGCGAACGGGUGAGUAAUGCAUCGGAACGUGCCCGAUCGUGGGGGAUAACGCAGCGAAAGCUGCGCUAAUACCGCAUACGAUCUGAGGAUGAAAGCGGGGGACCGUAAGGCCUCGCGCGAUCGGAGCGGCCGAUGUCAGAUUAGGUAGUUGGUGGGGUAAAGGCUCACCGAGCCGACGAUCUGUAGCUGGUCUGAGAGGACGACCAGCCACACUGGGACUGAGACACAGCCCAGACUCCUACGGGAGGCAGCAGUGGGGAAUUUUGGACAAUGGGCGCAAGCCUGAUCCAGCAAUGCCGCGUGCAGGAAGAAGGCCUUCGGGUUGUAAACUGCUUUUGUACGGAGCGAAAAGGCUCUCUCUAAUACAGGGGGCUCAUGACGGUACCGUAAGAAUAAGCACCGGCUAACUACGUACCAGCCGCCGCCGUAA
This 493-nucleotide ribosomal RNA is filed under the name uncultured bacterium. Its description in RNAcentral is "partial 16S ribosomal RNA". It matches the Rfam family "Bacterial small subunit ribosomal RNA", at positions 28 to 523 of the family's 1533-position model. The record is from RNAcentral.